UGCAGGGAUGGUCGAGCGGUCAAAGGCGCUAGGUUGAGGGCCUAGUGGGGUAGCCCUUCGCGGGUUCGAAUCCCGUUCCCUGCAU
RNAcentral lists this transfer RNA (85 nucleotides) under Methanobrevibacter curvatus. RNAcentral describes it as "tRNA-Leu". It matches the Rfam family "tRNA". Rfam says of the family: Transfer RNA (tRNA) molecules are approximately 80 nucleotides in length. The record is from RNAcentral. Lineage: Archaea; Methanobacteriati; Methanobacteriota; Methanobacteria; Methanobacteriales; Methanobacteriaceae.